ACCUAAACAUAUAGUGCCUUUGAAUAACUUGCAGAUUGGUGCUUUUACAGAAAAACGUAGAGGCGGAUCAGCUUGAAGAGGAGCGCCCUAAGCUGGAGCAUCAGUUCCGAGUAUCUGCAACCCCAACAGGUUUUGAUCCCUAAGGAGAAGAAAAUAACUAAUCCAACUAAGAGGAUGUACACCGACAGGAACGAGAAGUUGGUCAAUGACCCCAUCCAUGGACACAUUGAGUUACACCACCUACUGGUGCGCAUCAUCGACACCCCGCAGUUUCAGAGGCUGCGUUACAUCAAGCAGCUGGGGGGGCAUACUUUGUGUA
Molecule: long non-coding RNA, 319 nt
Organism: Paramormyrops kingsleyae
Lineage: Eukaryota; Metazoa; Chordata; Actinopteri; Osteoglossiformes; Mormyridae
Source: RefSeq, a predicted model, not a curated record